This 506-nucleotide ribosomal RNA is filed under the name uncultured bacterium. RNAcentral describes it as "partial 16S ribosomal RNA". It matches the Rfam family "Bacterial small subunit ribosomal RNA", at positions 28 to 523 of the family's 1533-position model. The record is from RNAcentral.
GAUGAACGCUAGCGGCAGGCCUAACACAUGCAAGUCGAGGGGUAACUAGAGUGAUAGCAAUAUUACUUUGGCUAGACCGGCGCACGGGUGCGUAACACGUAUGCAACCUACCUUAUACUGGGGAAUAACUUCGAGAAAUCGGCGCUAAUACCCCAUAACACUGCGGAGAGGCAUCUCUUUGCAGUUAAAGCUCCGGCGGUAUAAGAUGGGCAUGCGUCCAAUUAGCUAGUUGGUGAGGUAACGGCUCACCAAGGCUACGAUUGGUAGGGGUUCGGGGAGGAUGAUCCCCCACACUGGUACGUAGACACGGACCCGACUCCUGCGGGAGGCAGCAGUGAGGAAUAUUGCGCAAUGGCCGAAAGUCUGACGCAGCCAUGCCGCGUGCAGGAUAACGGCCCUAUGGGUUGUAAACUGCUUUUGUACGGGAAUAAACCCUUCUACGUGUAGGAGGCUGAAGGUACCGUAAGAAUAAGCACCGGCUAACUCCGUGCCAGCCGCCGCGGUAA